UGAAACACAGCAAUAAGGAAAGUAGAACUUACACUGCUGGCACAGAGAGUCUUCGUUUGCUGAAAGAAGAUCCAGAAAGAAAGUUUGAAAAUGGCCUUUGAGUGUUGAUGCCAAUAUGAGGUGUCAACGGGUUCGCCCGUUAUAGCGAGACAGUAUUAACAUUUGUUAAAUGGCGUACUGGAUUUCCACGUCCUCAACCGUGUUGAUACUCAUUUUGUAUAGACGAAAUGGGUUUUUAUUUUGCACUCGGUGAGAGGUUACUUCGUUCAACCAUUCGCGACUUUAACAUUUAGCGUACUGGUUGAGGUUGCUUUAGCGAUGAAGCAACAAAUAUAGGUGGUACCACGAAACCGAAGCUUUCGUCCUUUAC
RNAcentral lists this non-coding RNA (370 nucleotides) under Staphylococcus pettenkoferi. RNAcentral's name for it is "T-box sequence". It matches the Rfam family "T-box leader". From Rfam's summary of the family: Uncharged tRNA acts as the effector for transcription antitermination of genes in the T-box leader family. T-boxes are found upstream of many aminoacyl-tRNA synthetase genes and some amino acid biosynthetic genes usually in Gram-positive bacteria. Lineage: Bacteria; Bacillati; Bacillota; Bacilli; Caryophanales; Staphylococcaceae. The record is from RNAcentral.